UACGUAGAUCCAAGCGUUGUCCGGAUUUACUGGGUGUAAAGGGUGCGCAGGCGGACUUGUAAGUCAGGGGUGAAAUCUCACAGCUCAACUGUGAAACUGCCUUUGAUACUGCAAGUCUUGGAUCCAGAAGAGAGUUGUGGAAUUCCGAGUGUAGCAGUGAAAUGUGUAGAUAUUUCGGAAGAACACCAGUGGCGAAGGCAGCAACUUGGUCUGGUAUCGACGCUCAGGCACGAAAGCAUGGGGAUCAAACAGGAGUUAGAAUGACCCCUGUAG
RNAcentral lists this ribosomal RNA (273 nucleotides) under uncultured bacterium. RNAcentral's name for it is "partial 16S ribosomal RNA". It matches the Rfam family "Bacterial small subunit ribosomal RNA", at positions 524 to 793 of the family's 1533-position model. The record is from RNAcentral.